AAAAAACUGUGCUUCUGUUCAAUAUUAUAUAGUACACUGGGCUUUUCAUAAUACCUAAUUGCAUUAAGUGCAUUACAACACAGAAGUGUCAUUCAUUAAUAAUUUAAAUAGUAUUUUUAAAAGUGUGCUAUCUAGUUUUUUAUACAGGUGAAUAAUUACUGUAUGACAGUGAAACCAGAAGCUCUGCAGUAAAAUCAAUGUCAUUUUCUUCUAACAUGUACUUGUAUUACUCAUAAAUGCAUCAUUCAACAUUUCUUGAAAAAACCUACAGCUGUAAUCAUCUUUGUCGUAGGUUAAAAAGGAAAAAAAAGCAGAAUCUCAUAUUCACAUCUGCUCUCCUUCUCUCAAAACAACACCUUAAUGUUGUGAAGAAAAAAGUAAAGUCAUAUGUUUCAAAGAACAGAAGCCAGUCUUAAGAAAGUGGAUGAAAGCCAACAUAUUUAACCUUUUGCUUCAAAACAAUAUAAAGUGUUACACACAUAAAACCUAAAACAUUCACAACAACAAAAUUGCAGAAAACGUACAGAAAAUUUCUGCACGUGAAGAUGAUUGCAAAAGUCAUCUUUCUGUGGUGUCGUCUUUCAAGAUGACAUCACAAUGACCAGAGAUCUCCUCAUCAGGGCAGAGUGAUGAGAGAGUAGAGGCAGGGCUGACUCCAGCCUCCUGAGGUGGAGACCCAAUCCUGCACUGCACAGGGUAUCAGCUUGAAGUUGUGCAGCACAGCAUGACAAGUGAAAUUGCCCUAGCAAACAGUGCUAGAGAAGGCAUAGUUUUGCUACAGGGAAGAAAAGGUUUACAAACUGAAUCAAAAGAUGAAGUUUGCAGCUUCAUGGACUGCAGUAUUAGGAAAGAAAAAAAAAAAAAGAAGAAAAAAAAAAAAGGAAUGACAAGUACACCACAUGCUUUUAUGUAUGAUUCUAAGAGGAAAAAAUAUUUGUCUUGGCACAGUUGCCAAUUUAAAGUCUUGGCAAUCCGUUAGGGAUAUUCAACUCUUCUGCAGAAGGAUUGUGCACAAUCUUGCUGAUGACAUGCUACUUAUUUCCUUAAAUAAACUGUGUAUUUAAUUUCUUUUUCA
This 1075-nucleotide long non-coding RNA is filed under the name Anser cygnoides (Swan goose). RNAcentral's name for it is "lncRNA (ENSACDG00005001325.1)". The record is from RNAcentral. Lineage: Eukaryota; Metazoa; Chordata; Aves; Anseriformes; Anatidae.